GUUCUCACUUUGGCAGCAUAUAUACUAAAAUUAGAACAAUACAGAGAAAGUGGCAGGGCCCCUACACAAGGAUGACACACACAUUCAUGAAGUGUCCCAUGUUUUU
This is a small nuclear RNA of Suricata suricatta (meerkat), 106 nucleotides long. The record is from Ensembl. NCBI's taxonomy places the organism in Eukaryota, Metazoa, Chordata, Mammalia, Carnivora, Herpestidae.